Non-coding RNA from Phasianus colchicus (ring-necked pheasant), 955 nucleotides. Lineage: Eukaryota; Metazoa; Chordata; Aves; Galliformes; Phasianidae. The record is from RefSeq and is a predicted model, not a curated record.
AGGGAUCUUCUUACUCAGGAAGCAGCCAGUAUGGUGGGCAGGGCUCAUCAUAUUCUGGAGGCCGACAACAUGGUAAACCAGGAUCCUCAGGAAGCACUUAUUCUGGAAAGCAGCAACCACCUUCUUCAGGGGGUAGUCAAGUGAGCUCUGCUGGGAAACACUCCAGUCCCCAACUCCUGCUGUUGUUUAGCAUUUUGAGUGCCUUCGUACUCUCUGCUGUUACAUCAAAAUGGUCUAUGUGAACAUCAGAAGAUGUGCUCGGCAUCCUAGACGUGGAUUAUACGCAGUAAUAUUAGAUUAAUUAAUAUCAGGAAGAAAAAAAAACAACACCACCAUAAAACUGUCAGAUGUUACUUGGGCUAUCAUGUUCCAUGUCUGGUUACUAUGUCAUGUCUUUCAUUAGUUUCUUUGGGUUUAGUCAUUAGUAGAUAUCAUUACUUUUGUCAGUGUUCUAGGCACCAUUUUAAGAGAGUGUAUUGUACCCUAGCUUUAUGAUUUCAUUAAAUUAUUUUUAUGUCCAGUGGAAAACAUGAUGAACACCUGAAAACUGAUUGGUGUGAGAAACAAAUGCUUAUAAAAUACCUGGUUAGUAACCAACGCAGAAUGUCAGACAAAUGGUUUUAUUUGCAAAACUUUAUUUGAGCACUGUCACUGCCCCUCACUGCAUACAAUAAAGAUGACCUCUAACUUCUUGUGAGCGAUCCUCCAUGGGGUGGCAAAAAGGAUGCUAAAAUAAUAUUAUACUAUCGGCUUUAGUGGAAUGUAACAAAUCCAUACCCAACAUGAAGGUUGCAAAGCUAAAAAAAAAAAAAAAAAAAAAAAGCCUAAAUGCGAUCUUCACCAUUUAGUUGACAGUUGUUUCUUUGGACUACGCAAUAACGUUCUUUUAAUUUAAGCGUCCGCUCUGAACUGGCAUUGCACUUCUUUAAUAAACUGAUGGUGGAUUUCACGCGAA